RNAcentral lists this ribosomal RNA (174 nucleotides) under Scinax alter (Crubixa snouted treefrog). RNAcentral describes it as "partial 16S large subunit ribosomal RNA". The record is from RNAcentral. Lineage: Eukaryota; Metazoa; Chordata; Amphibia; Anura; Hylidae.
ACGUGAUCUGAGUUCAGACCGGAGUAAUCCAGGUCAGUUUCUAUCUAUAGCUGAGCUUAUUCCAGUACGAAAGGACAGAAAAAGCGUAGCCCAUGCCUCAGGCAAGCCACUAUUAAUAAUUUUUGAUUUCAACUUAACUUUCAGUUAACCAACAACCUCCCUCAAAAAAAGAGA